GUUUGAUCAUGGCUCAGGACGAACGCUGGCGGCGCGCCUAAUGCAUGCAAGUCGAACGAGGAUUAGCCUUCGGGCGAAAUCCUAGUGGCAGACGGCUGAGUAACGCGUGAGUGACCUACCCUUGAGAGGGGGAUAACACCGGGAAACCGGUGCUAAUACCCCGUACGCUCACCAGUGUAAAGGCUGGUGAGGAAAUGAAUUUCGCUCGAGGAGGGGCUCGCGUCCUAUCAGGUAGUUGGUGAGGUAACGGCUCACCAAGCCGAAGACGGGUACCUGGUGUGAGAGCACGACCAGGCAGAGGGGGACUGAGACACGGCCCCCACUCCUACGGGAGGCAGCAGCAGGGAAUCUUCCACAAUGGGCGAAAGCCUGAUGGAGCGACGCCGCGUGGGGGAUGAAGGUUUUCGGAUCGUAAACCCCUUUUCUCAGGGAAGAGUAAGGACGGUACCUGAGGAAUAAGCAUCGGCUAACUACGUGCCAGCAGCCGCGGUAAUACGUAGGAUGCUAGCGUUGUCCGGAAUCACUGGGCGUAAAGGGUCCGUAGGCGGUCUGUUAAGUCUCCUGUGAAAGUUCAGGGCUCAACCCUGAAAUGUCGGGGGAUACUGGCAGACUUGAGACUGUCAGAGGCAGGUGGAAUUCCCGGUGUAGUGGUGAAAUGCGUAGAUAUCGGGAGGAACACCAGUGGCGAAAGCGGCCUGCUGGGACAGUUCUGACGCUGAGGGACGAAAGCGUGGGUAGCAAACCGGAUUAGAUACCCGGGUAGUCCACGCCCUAAACGAUGGAUGCUAGGUUUGCGGGGUAUCGACCCCCUGUGAGCCGUAUGUAACCCGUUAAGCAUCCCGCCUGGGGACUACGACCGCAAGGUUAAAACUCAAAUGAA
RNAcentral lists this ribosomal RNA (880 nucleotides) under uncultured bacterium. RNAcentral describes it as "bacterial SSU rRNA". It matches the Rfam family "Bacterial small subunit ribosomal RNA", at positions 11 to 909 of the family's 1533-position model. The record is from RNAcentral.